GAUACCCUGCGAUGUACGACAUCCUUUUCCAUUUAUAAUCCGACAAGCAUAAAUUUAGGGCUUUAAGUGUCUCCAGCAGACUAGUGCAGACCUCCCGCCUUCCCCCUGAGGGUUGCGUGGAAGAAGGGAGCGCGAUGUUUGUGGGCGCUCACCCACCUGUCUAGGACGGGGUUUUAUACGGGGAAGGUAACGGCAUUGCGGGGUGUUA
Molecule: non-coding RNA, 208 nt
Filed under: Oscillospiraceae bacterium MB24-C1
Lineage: Bacteria; Bacillati; Bacillota; Clostridia; Eubacteriales; Oscillospiraceae
Also listed under: 1 other name
Description: 6S RNA
Rfam family: 6S / SsrS RNA
About the family: E. coli 6S RNA was the first non coding RNA to be sequenced, but its function was unknown until recently. It consists of 184 nucleotides that fold into an extended hairpin structure with a large single-stranded internal bulge.
Source: RNAcentral